GCCCUCGUAGCUCAGCGGAUAGAGCACCGGCCUCCGGAGCCGGUGGCGCAGGUUCGAGUCCUGCCGAGGGCG
RNAcentral lists this transfer RNA (72 nucleotides) under Acidimicrobiales bacterium. RNAcentral describes it as "tRNA-Arg". It matches the Rfam family "tRNA". Rfam says of the family: Transfer RNA (tRNA) molecules are approximately 80 nucleotides in length. Their secondary structure includes four short double-helical elements and three loops (D, anti-codon, and T loops). Lineage: Bacteria; Bacillati; Actinomycetota; Acidimicrobiia; Acidimicrobiales. The record is from RNAcentral. RNAcentral also lists the same sequence under 2 other names.